Molecule: long non-coding RNA, 1771 nt
Filed under: Coffea arabica (coffee)
Lineage: Eukaryota; Viridiplantae; Streptophyta; Magnoliopsida; Gentianales; Rubiaceae
Description: long non-coding RNA (CARA_LNC003840)
Source: RNAcentral
AUUCACUUAGCACAAAAAGUUGGAAAGUUUUGGCUCAUGGUCCUCAAACUUGUCCUAGGUAUUACAUCACCGACAAAAAUCUCUCGCAGGCAUUUGUCAACGGGGUUAUGCAUUGGCUUGCACAUCGUAGGAAAGGAAGUUUGGGGAAUUCAAUAAUGGGGUUUGAUAUGAAGGAUGAAAUUUUCAUAGAGAUCUUCUUACCGGAAGCUUUGGUGGAUGAGCGUGCUGCAAAUUUGUUUCUUAUGAAACAUGGUGGUUGUCUUGCUGUGAUGAAGUACAACGGAUAUGAGAACAAUUAUAGCCUUUGGGUGAUGAAGGAAUAUGGGAAUGUGGAGUCGUGGAAGAGGCUGUAUGAUAUUGGAUUACUGGAAGGGAUGGAGAAUGUGAUUGGAUUCAGUAAAAACGGUCAUCUUUUCGUGACAAUGUUUGUGGAUGAGAUGUUUGUUAGUGAUCCUGGAAGUGGAGUGCUGGUUUCAUUUGACCUUGAGAGCAGAAAAAUUAAGGAUCUUGAAAUUUUUGGGAAGCUUGGUUCGAUUUAUGUUGAGAAUUUUGUGGAGAGCCUGGUCUUGCUUGAAGGAUAAAGUGAAUUGCAGAUUGAUGCUUCUACUUGCAAGGAAAAGAGAGGUGUGUGAAAUGAAGAGUGGCUGUAAACAACAAUAGUAGUGGAAAAAGUGGAGCAAAUGACUGAACAGGCUAGGAAGAUUUGAUGAAAUUAUAUCCGUUUUGGAGUGAGUUUUUAUUGUAAUUUUUGUUUGUGCUGUGUUUCUAUUAUCCAACUUUGGUAGUCUUUAAAUGGAAUGCUAUUACCAUGAUUCUCAUCAUAGACUCGCUCGUUUAUGUUCCGCUAGCCUGUUAAUUUUAAAACGAACAUAAUGCUAUAAGCUGUAUUUAUAAUUAUAACUUGGUGUUACUUCUCUGUUGUUUGGUGGUGAUUCGUUGUUUUGUUGCUGCUAGUGCUCUAACCCUUUGAAAUGAUCUUUUGCUGUGUGCAACGUGCCCAUUCGAUGAUGAAGGCCGCUAGUCAUCUUCAUCUUCUUUUGUUGUUGUGUGAGGUUCAAUAACAGAGGGAUACCAAAUUAUUCUUGAUCCAUGUCAAGAUAGCUUUCUAAAGAACUAUGUGCCUGCCCUUCAGACUGGAACUUCACUUUUAGCUUACGGACUUGCCUUCAGCUCAAGAAUGUCUAUUAUAUUCUUUGUUGUACAUAUGACUGGCCUUCAGCUUUUAACUCGACUUGGCUUGUUUGCAGCCCUAGACCGUGCCAUUUCAAAUAGAGAACUUUUGUUAUUGUCCAUCUUUCUCCAAUUGAAUUCCUUUUCUUUCUAUUUAUUUUGCCAGGUGAAAACAUAAAGCAAAUAAUUACAGGGAAAAUUUAUAUCAAGGGCGAGAUUUUGAGCCGGGCAUAUGUAGCUUUUUCUGUCACUAAAUUUUUCAAGAAACUCUACCAAUGCUCCACUCUUUCUUGGGGGUCUUUCUAAUUCUGAGCAGCUGCCCCAUCUCUCAAACCUGAAAAAUGGAAUUGGAAACUACCUAGGACAACAUUCCCGAAGAAAUAUUGACUGAAAUCUUUAUGAAUGAAACAAUCCCAGUCAAAUCCCUAGUCAGAUUCUCCUAGUCUCCAAAUACUCACAAGUCCUAGUUUUAUCUCGAGGCACCUCAUUAGAAACCAAGGACUAAUGUAGGGUCCUUCUCAGAAGGGUAGAAAUAAUGCCUAAUUCUCAAAACAAGAGUCAAGCAUUCAUAUUAUCUCUUGGCAAACCCAAAAAAAAAAAA